This 253-nucleotide ribosomal RNA is filed under the name uncultured bacterium. RNAcentral describes it as "partial 16S ribosomal RNA". It matches the Rfam family "Bacterial small subunit ribosomal RNA", at positions 524 to 776 of the family's 1533-position model. The record is from RNAcentral.
UACAGAGGGGGCAAGCGUUAUUCGGAAUUAUUGGGCGUAAAGGGCGCGUAGGCGGCCUGGCAAGUGGAAGGUGAAAUCCCUCGGCUUAACCGAGGAACUGCCCUCCAAACUGCUUGGCUUGAGUCCGGGAGAGGUGAGUGGAAUUCCGAGUGUAGAGGUGAAAUUCGUAGAUAUUCGGAAGAACACCAGUGGCGAAGGCGGCUCACUGGACCGGCAUUGACGCUGAGGUGCGAAAGCGUGGGGAGCAAACAGG